Molecule: long non-coding RNA, 1616 nt
Filed under: Canis lupus familiaris (dog)
Lineage: Eukaryota; Metazoa; Chordata; Mammalia; Carnivora; Canidae
Description: lncRNA (ENSCAFG00845020427.1)
Source: RNAcentral
AUCCUUUUUUGAUCCUUUUUUUUUUUUAAGAUUUAUUUAUUUAUUUAUUUAUUUAUUUAUUUAUUUAUUUAUUAUAGACAUAGAGAGAGAGAGAGAGGCAGAGACACAGGAGGAGGGAGAAGCAGGCUCCAUGCCGGGAGCCCGACGUGGGACUCGAUCCCAGAACUCCAGGAUUGUGCCCUGGGCCAAAGGCAGGCGCUAAACCGCUGAGCCACCCAGGGAUAUCUGUGACACUUGAUCCUGAUCCUGAAGACUUGGUAAGAACUCAACUAGGAGCUCAACUAGGGGAAGAGGCUAAUGGCAUACUAGACUAGAUUAUGUUGAAGAAUGGACAACUCAAAGAACUUGGUAUGUUUGGGACUUUGGAAUCUCCAUAAUGGAAGGUACCCAUGAGUGAGGGCUGGAGAGAAGUGAGGAGGGGUUUGGACCAGAGCUUGAAAUGUCUUCAAUACCGUGCUGGAUUUCUUCUGUUUGUCUCUCCAGGUAGCUCUUUACCCUUGUCCACCAUGUUCUUGGAAGGUCAUUAGUGGGUCUUUUUGCCCUUCAUCUUCUUAUUGGAUUCCCCCAGCACAGAACUCUGGCAGGAAACUGAAAGAAGGGAGAAGAGUGAGGUCAAAGCAUUUGCUUUGUUGGCUCCUUCCACAAGAAGUCAUCUGGGAUUGGCUGCUUCCCCCAGCUGAGGGUCAUUGGGACUCUAAACCUGGCCAAGUCAACUUGUCCUUUAAGGAUCAGGUGUGUUAUGGGAUGUAUGAUUCUGGAAAGCUGGCCUGGAGCGAGAUUGAUGUGGACCUUGGAUUCUCUGCCAGGGGUUUUGAACUUUUUGCUGCUGAGAAGAGGAGCCAUUAAAGGACAAAUUGAAGAUCAUUAAGAACUUCUUCUCCCUCCGAUGAGUCCUUCUGCCUCAAUGUGCCAUGAGGCUAUCAUAUUUGCCUCCCUCUGUGUGCACAGUUGACGAGCAUAUCACACAGUAGAGGCUAAAGUGGCCACAAGAGGCUGCGUUGAGGUUGCUGGAGAAGAGAGAAGCACACGGCCAGAGAGAAGGUUCAUGGGAUGUCCACUAUUUAGAUGCCUGACUUCAGAGUUAGCCAUGUCUUGGCUCUUGGCAAUUCCUAAGGAAAUUCUGGAUGACGACCCUUGGAAGACUUUCUGGCCCAGGUAAUGCAUUUCAUGUUCUCCUUCAUGUUUCUUCUUUGCCCUUCUCAUGAGUAGACUUAGAUUUAUACACACACACACAAAAGUUUCAGUUCUCAGCUCAGAAGAUAGAAAUUUCUUGACGUCUGAGCAGAAGGGGGAUCACUGAGACUCAAGAAAGCACUUCAUGACCGGGGUCAUGAUGGUGUAUCGAUCAGCGCUGGCUGUUUUCUAUCAGUCAGGGUGGCAUGGGUGGUAACAAACAGCCCCCAGAUAUUUUUUUAACCCUUUUGUGUAAAAUAAAACACAGAUAAUGCAACCCCCGAGAAACAGUAUUUAUCGCCUUAUUAUAAGGCUAACACCCUUGUAACAGGUACUCAAGUUUGGAAACGGAGCUCAGAUGCCCUGUCCCUUGGCUCCCUCCCAAACUAACCAUCUUCUUCACCUUUCUGUAAAAAGCCCCAAAUCGUAAUGGGUGAAAACAA